This 484-nucleotide ribosomal RNA is filed under the name uncultured bacterium. RNAcentral's name for it is "partial 16S ribosomal RNA". It matches the Rfam family "Bacterial small subunit ribosomal RNA", at positions 30 to 507 of the family's 1533-position model. The record is from RNAcentral.
AUUGAAUGCUGGCGGCAGGCCUAACACAUGCAAGUCGAGCGGAUGAAGGGAGCUUGCUCCUGGAUUCAGCGGCGGACGGGUGAGUAAUGCCUAGGAAUCUGCCUGGUAGUGGGGGAUAACGUCCGGAAACGGGCGCUAAUACCGCAUACGUCCUGAGGGAGAAAGUGGGGGAUCUUCGGACCUCACGCUAUCAGAUGAGCCUAGGUCGGAUUAGCUAGUUGGUGGGGUAAAGGCCUACCAAGGCGACGAUCCGUAACUGGUCUGAGAGGAUGAUCAGUCACGCUGGAACUGAGACACGGUCCAGACUCCUACGGGAGGCAGCAGUGGGGAAUAUUGGACAAUGGGCGAAAGCCUGAUCCAGCCAUGCCGCGUGUGUGAAGAAGGUCUUCGGAUUGUAAAGCACUUUAAGUUGGGAGGAAGGGCAGUAAGUUAAUACCUUGCUGUUUUGACGUUACCAACAGAAUAAGCACCGGCUAACUUCGUG